GACGACGCUGGCGGCGUGCUUAACACAUGCAAGUCGAACGGAGUUACGUAUGAAGUAUUUCGGUACGGACUAUGUAACUUAGUGGCGAACGGGUGAGUAACACGUGGGCAACCUGCCCUUAACCGGGGGAUAACAUUGUGAAAACAGUGCUAAUACCGCAUAACAGAGUAUCGGGCAUCCGAUAUUUUUAAAAGGAGCAAUCCGGUUUAGGAUGGGCCCGCGUCCAAUUAGCUAGUUGGUGAGGUAACGGCUCACCAAGGCUACGAUUGGUAGCCGAACUGAGAGGUUGAUCGGCCACAUUGGGACUGAGACACGGCCCAGACUCCUACGGGAGGCAGCAGUGGGGAAUUUUGGACAAUGGGCGCAAGCCUGAUCCAGCCAUGCCGCGUGAGUGAAGAAGGCCUUCGGGUUGUAAAGCUCUUUCGGCGGGGAAGAAAUCGCAUCUCCUAAUACGGGGUGUGGAUGACGGUACCCGAAUAAGAAGCACCGGCUAACUACGUG
Molecule: ribosomal RNA, 501 nt
Filed under: uncultured bacterium
Lineage: Bacteria
Description: bacterial SSU rRNA
Rfam family: Bacterial small subunit ribosomal RNA
Source: RNAcentral